GACAGAGGGUGCAAACGUUGCUCGGAAUCACUGGGCGUAAAGGGCGUGUAGGCGGAUAGAUAAGUCGGGCGUGAAAUCCCCAGGCUCAACCUGGGAACUGCACUCGAAACUGUUUAUCUUGAGUAUCGGAGAGGAAAGCGGAAUACCUGGUGUAGAGGUGAAAUUCGUAGAUAUCAGGUGGAACACCAGUGGCGAAGGCGGCUUUCUGGACGAUUACUGACGCUGAGACGCGAAAGCGUGGGGAGCAAACAGGAUUAGAUACCCUGGUAGUCCACGCCGUAAACGAUGAGUGCUAGGUGCUGUGGGUAUUGACCCCCGCGGUGCCGAAGCUAACGCAUUAAGCACUCCGCCUGGGAAGUACGGUCGCAAGACUAAA
RNAcentral lists this ribosomal RNA (376 nucleotides) under uncultured bacterium. Its description in RNAcentral is "bacterial SSU rRNA". It matches the Rfam family "Bacterial small subunit ribosomal RNA", at positions 524 to 898 of the family's 1533-position model. The record is from RNAcentral.